UUUUCCCACAAUUUUUGAGGUUUUUCCUGGUUUUUCCCUGCAGUUUUUUGGCAUUUUUUCCUGGAUUUUUGGGGCAUUUUUUCUGUAUUUUUUUGGGAUUUUCCCCCAGAUUUUUGAGAUUUUCCCACAGUUUUUGAGGUUUUUCCCUGCAGUUUUUUGGCAUUUUUUCCUGGAUUUUUGGGGCUUUUUUUCCUGGAUUUUUUUGGGAUUUUUCCCACAGUUUUGGCAUUUUUCCUGGAUUUUUGGGGCUUUUUUUCCUGGAUUUUUUUUGGAUUUUCCCCCACAUUUUUUGAGGUUUUUCCCUGUAGUUUUUUGGCAUUUUUCCUGGAUUUUUAGAGGUUUUUUUCCUGGAUUUUUUUGGGAUUUUCCCCCAGAUUUUUUGGGAUUUUUCCCACAGCUUUUGAGGUUUUUCUCUGCAGUUUUUUGGGAUUUUUUCCCUGGAUUUUUGGAGCUUUUUUCCCUGGAUUUUUUUGGGAUUUUCCCCCAAUUUUUUGGGGGUUUUUCCCCCAGUUUUUCCCCAGAUUUUUGAGAUUUUUCCCUGCAGUUUUUUGGGAAUUUUUCUGGAUUUUUGGGUUUAAUCUCCUGGAUUUUUUGGGGAUUUUUCCCACAGUUUUUGAGAUUUUUCCCUGCAGUUUUUUGGCAUUUUUUUCCUGGAUUUUUAGAGGUUUUUUUCUGGAUUUUUUGGGUGUUUUUCCCCAGAUUUUUGAGGUUUUUCCCUGCAGUUUUUUGGCAUUUUUUCCCGGAUUUUUUGGGCUUUUUUUUCCUUUUUUCCUGGGCUUUUUUGGGGAUUUUGCCAGUUUUUU
RNAcentral lists this long non-coding RNA (803 nucleotides) under Zonotrichia albicollis (white-throated sparrow). RNAcentral's name for it is "lncRNA (ENSZALG00000003156.1)". The record is from RNAcentral. Lineage: Eukaryota; Metazoa; Chordata; Aves; Passeriformes; Passerellidae.